Molecule: unclassified non-coding RNA, 344 nt
Filed under: Hevea brasiliensis (rubber tree)
Lineage: Eukaryota; Viridiplantae; Streptophyta; Magnoliopsida; Malpighiales; Euphorbiaceae
Source: RNAcentral
CUCUCUGCGAUAUAUGCAUACAGAGCCAAAAGUUAGUAAACCUCUACUCAAACCUAAAACCAAUCUCUCCCCAUUAUAGAUCGCCACCCACAAGAAAUGCCUUCUAAUACUCCUAAAUCCUCACUCAUGCUCCAUCGGAUUAACAGCCCCGCAUCCAUCACCACCAACACAGCCGCCUGCCAGAAGCGGUGGUCCCCUCUAUCAUGCGCCACCCCGGUCCCAGAAACCGUCGCACGUUAUCACACCCAUGUCGUAGGCCCUCCGUCGAGGUACAGCAGAUCGCUGCCCCUGUCUCCACUGUGUGGUCCGUAGUCAGACGAUUCGAUAACCCUCAAGCUUACAAG